AGAGUUUGAUCCUGGCUCAGAACGAACGCUGGCGGCAUGCCUAAUACAUGCAAGUCGAACGCGAAAAGGGGGCAACCCCCCAGUAGAGUGGCGCACGGGUGAGUAACGCGUGGGUAAUCUCCCUUUGAGACCGGAAUAACCCGCCGAAAGGCGGGCUAAUACCGGAUAAGACCACGGGGCUUAAGUCCUGAGGUUAAAGGCGGGUGGCAACACCUGUCGCUCUUUGAUGAGCCCGCGUCCCAUCAGCUAGUUGGUGAGGUAAGAGCUUACCAAGGCUAAGACGGGUAGCUGGUCUGAGAGGACGAUCAGCCACACUGGCACUGAAACACGGGCCAGGCUCCUACGGGAGGCAGCAGUGGGGAAUUUUGCGCAAUGGGCGAAAGCCUGACGCAGCGACGCCGCGUGAGGGAAGAAGGUUUUCGGAUCGUAAACCUCUGUCGGAGGGGAAGAAACCCCAGGGUGCUAAUACCAUCCUGGAUUGACGGUACCCUCUGAGGAAGCAUCGGCUAACUACGUGCCAGCAGCCGCGGUAAUACGUAGGAUGCAAGCGUUGUUCGGAAUUAUUGGGUGUAAAGGGCGCGUAGGCGGCUUGGCCAGUCACGGGUGAAAGCCCCCGGCUUAACCGGGGAAUUGCCCGUGAUACUACCAAGCUCGAGUACGGGAGAGGGGAGUGGAAUUCCUGGUGUAGCGGUGAAAUGCGUAGAUAUCAGGAGGAACACCGGUGGCGAAGGCGGCUUCCUGGACCGAUACUGACGCUGAGGCGCGAAAGCGUGGGUAGCAAACAGGAUUAGAUACCCUGGUAGUCC
This 806-nucleotide ribosomal RNA is filed under the name uncultured bacterium. Its description in RNAcentral is "bacterial SSU rRNA". It matches the Rfam family "Bacterial small subunit ribosomal RNA", at positions 8 to 796 of the family's 1533-position model. The record is from RNAcentral.